CGAGUUUGAUCAUGGCUCAGAUUGAACGCUGGCGGCAUGCUUUACACAUGCAAGUCGAACGGUAACAGGCCUUCGGGUGCUGACGAGUGGCGAACGGGUGAGUAAUGCAUCGGAACGUGCCCAAUCGUGGGGGAUAACGUAGCGAGAGUUACGCUAAUACCGCAUAAGCCCUGGAGGGGGAAAGCGAGGGGAUCGCAAGACCUUGCGCGAAUGGAGCGGCCGAUGUCAGAUUAGCUAGUUGGUGGGGUAAAGGCCUACCAAGGCGACGAUCUGUAGCGGGUCUGAGAGGAUGAUCCGCCACACUGGGACUGAGACACGGCCCAGACCCCUACGGGAGGCAGCAGUGGGGAAUUUUGGACAAUGGGCGCAAGCCUGAUCCAGCCAUGCCGCGUGCGGGACGAAGGCCUUCGGGUUGUAAACCGCUUUCAGCCGGAAAGAAAUCGCCAAGGCUAAUAUCCUUGGUGGAUGACGGUACCGGAAGAAGAAGCACCGGCUAACUACGUG
This 504-nucleotide ribosomal RNA is filed under the name uncultured bacterium. RNAcentral's name for it is "bacterial SSU rRNA". It matches the Rfam family "Bacterial small subunit ribosomal RNA", at positions 9 to 507 of the family's 1533-position model. The record is from RNAcentral.